Molecule: long non-coding RNA, 4692 nt
Filed under: Canis lupus familiaris (dog)
Lineage: Eukaryota; Metazoa; Chordata; Mammalia; Carnivora; Canidae
Description: lncRNA (ENSCAFG00000053219.1)
Source: RNAcentral
AUUUCCCAAAGGAUUUAAAGCAACUUGCCACAUAGUAACAUAUACUAAAAUAAUGUCCUGGUGUAAGAAUAAAAAGUCAGGUCUAUAGAAAAUAAACAAGAGUAAAAAAAAUAUCUCUAGGGUAGAGGGUGGUCUGAGAGGGAUAUAAAUAUUAAGACCUUAUGGAACCACACACAGUUACCUUGGUUGAACUUCAAAUUUAUAUGUAAUUUCAAAGCGUUGUGGUAAUUUUUAAAAUGGGGACAUGAUUGGUUCUUAUUGUCAGGGAGGGAAAUUCAUACCGAUUAUUCAAGGAAAACACAAUUUCCCUAUUGCAUAGCUUGAUAAUAUAUUUCUACAUGGAUGUUUUUGUAAGAUGCGUUCAGUAGUAGGAUGGCAGUGUCUUCCACAGCACACCUACCAUGAACUCUGUGGUUUUACAUGACUGCUUCUUAUAUCAUCCCUUGGUAAAGCUGAGAGCAUGCCGCUAAAGCAUGAUUGGAAUGAUAAAUCUGGAGGGGAUAGAAAACCCAGAUCAUAUGGCCACAGGAAAGAUAGUGCUUAGAGGACUAUUAAUUCUUUUAACAAUCUUCUAUUUAUACCUACCUUAGCUGAUAUUUUUAAUAAAUUUGGGCAGCAGACAACUCAAAGUAAAAUUUGCUGGGGUGUAUUUGAAGUGUUCUAAGUGGUUUACUGUUGGAACCACGUAUUUUAGGAAGUGGAUGAGAAGAGUAGAGAAUAAUAGCUUUUUCUGAAAAUUAAGGACUUAAGUUUCUUUUUCUUUUUUUUUUAAUUAAAGGGCUCUUUCUACAGCUACAUAUAAGAAAGAAAUUAAUUUUUACUGUAUCUUUUUCCUUCCUUCAUUCUUCUUCAAGUAUUUAUUGAUACCUCUUAUGCCGUAGACUUUGGGUUGUGGCAGUGAACAAUAGAAUGUAAUAGAGUAUAAUUCUAGUGAGGAAGGCAAAUGUUAAAGAAGAUAAUAGUUAUUUAGUUGCAAUUUUGAUAUGCUCUUCUGAAAACAGAGUGGAAAGUAAGCAUGUAAGUGAGAGAUUGGCAUACUGUAUAACCUUUCUGGUUUGAAUGCUGCAUCCCUACACUAUGGAAGCAGUUGCCUCGGAGAUGUUAAUUGACUAUUUACAGAUGGCCUUGCCUAAUCUUAGCAAACUGUCACGUUCAGUAGCAUGGUGUUACUGUGAUGAUUUUUAAAGUUUUUGUUUUGUUUUGUUUUUGUGUGUGAAUGUUUGUUUUAGCAGCAGGAAUCUUUUGUUUAAAAAAUGAAACUUAGCGGGAGUCCAUAAAUAGAAAACAGAAAAUAAAAUCUGAGCUGUUCCUGUUUAGGGUUGGGUUACAGUGAGAACUCUGGUUCCUUGGACUUUCCCUGCAUUUGGCCCUCCCAGAAUCACCUCUUUGUGACCCCUGUGGCACUAAUUUGAAAACCAGUAUUCUGGAGGUCUCAGCGCUGUCUACCCUUGCUUAUUUAAUGGCCCUCCACUGGCCCCACAGAUAGUGCUUGCACUGUCCAAUUGGUACCCAUUUCUGUGCUAGACUCUCUGAACACUUCUUGCACUGACCCAACCUAAGGAACAAACAGGAAUUUUCUUUGGAUUCGUGAAACCCAAACUGGACUUUCUUUAGUUGCUGUGAUUUUCUACCAAUGAUUCCUGUUCUCAGUCCACUUCCUACUUAGGCUUCUUACCACCACCCCAUUUGUUAGCUCAGAUGCUAUCUGUGCAUGAAUUAAUGAAGAUUAGAAAGGAAGUAUUGUAUCCAUUAAUUCAACAAAUAAGUUUUGAGCUCCAACUCCAAGCUCCAAGUAUAUGCUCAGCAUUGUCCAAGGAACUUAGAGAUACAACCACAAACAACAACAAUGACCCAAAAUACCCCUCAUCCCUGCACUCUUGGAGCUUACAUCCUAGUGGAGGGCAGACAAUAAACAAAUGCAUGAGAAACCAUUGUGUUACAGAUGGUGAUAAUUUCUUUGAGAGAAAUAAUCAAAGAAAAAGCAUAGGGCGUGUCUGGGUGAGGUGGGCAAAGGUUUACUAUUUUAAGGAAUGAGAUCAAAGGACACUUCACUGAGAAAAUGACAUCUGAGGAAUGUCAGGAAGGAUGAAGUGAUACAGCUGUUUGGGAGAAGAACAUUCUAAACAGGAGUGGCAGGUGUGGGCAGUGCUUAGUCAGAGGCCUCACAUAUUUGGGAACAAGUGUGGCUAAAAGGACACUUGUUAGCCACACACAAAGGAACAAGUGUGGCUAAAGCAAAGUGAGUAAGAGACGAGCUCAUAAAAAUAGCAAAAACCAGAUCAUGGACCACCUUGUUAGCUGUUGUUGGGACUUCUUUCUACUCUGAAGGAGGAUGUGUAGAAGUGAUAUAAUCUAACACGGAUGAUAAAAGGAUCAGUUGGGUUGCUGCAUGGAAAACGGAAUGAAGCAGAUAAGGGCAGGUGCAGGGACACCACUUGGAAGUGGUGUCCACAAAAUGGGGGAAAAUAGAGAGUAUGAAAGGAGAAUAAUUUGCUCAAGGAGAUUUCUUCAUUUUUCCCAUUUGAUAAAAGGAUGAUUGAACUUAGUGGAUAGGGUGCUUAUAGAGAAGAAGUAAAAACUCAAAAUUAUCUGCGAUAGUAAAUGGGUGAUGAUUUAAUUGAUGGAAAGGGAAACAGUGGAGAGAUGUUUGUCUGAGAGCAGGGUGUGAAAGAUGACCCUAUGGCUCAACAAAUCUCUUUCUGUUGUCAGUGGAUAUGAAAGUGUAAACUAAAAAAUGUCAGAAUAAAAAUAAGGGGAAAAAUCAAGCACAGAGUUUUCAGUUUGAGAGUUUCAGAUAUAUAGAGUUCUGCAUGGUUUAUAAAAUAUUUAUUUAAUAUGUUUACAACUGUGCUAAUGACUAAACCCCUUCUUUCCCCCUCUUUCCUAGAACCUUGCUAAAGGUAUAAUAGAAAAAGAAUAUGAGUUUAAAAGAAUUGGAUAAUAUUCAUUUUUCUGUUUAAUACCAUUUAUGGAAUGCUUAUCAUUUAUGAGAAAUAUUCUAGGUAUAUUCUGGAGAUGUAAAUAUGAAUGAAUCAAGUUAUUUUCCUUCAUGAAGCCUAUAGUUGAAUGGAAAAUAUAGAAAUAAAGAAACUAGACUGUAGUGUGGUACACAUUAGGUGUUACCUAACUGUCAAUAAAGGAUUAAUUGAAUCAGAGCAUUUCCCUAUGUGUGGUGUCUUAAAGGAUGAGUAGAGGAGCCAACAGUUGGGGUGGGGAGGGAGAGAGAGGGUUGCAGGCAGGAGAAACUUCAUGUGUCAGGAUUCUGAGGGGGUGACAUCACAUGUCCUAUUUACUGUUUGAAAGCAGAGAUGCACAGAGCUCAGAGAGUGUCUUGUCUCAGGAGCCAAGGUAUAUUGUAUAUCAUCUAGCGUAGAAAACAACUCAAAGUUUUUAAUGACCUUCAGGAUGUAUUUUAUAUUAUUUAUUGUCCAAGCCAGGAUAGUUUGAUAGUAAAAAAGGGUGCUGUAUUAAUUACACUUGGAACAGGUAUAAUUUAGGACUGUGCAGGCAAACCUCAGUAUUUGGUUAUCAUAAUGAUAGCUGUUUUCUUAUACAAAGUUGUCAUAAAUAUACUUAUUGGUGGUGCAAACUGAAUUCCUUGAUAAAAAUAUAUAUUUAAAGAAAAUAAACCAAUAAGCAGGGCUUUAAUAGGAGGGAUAAGCUGCUUUAAGAUGGAAGAUCAAGGAAAGUUUUUCUGAAAUUAAGACUUCUGAGCUGAGACUGGAACGUGAAGGCGUCUGCCAAGGGAAGGUCCAUGUAGGACAGCUCCAGAGAGGGGGAAGCAUCAAAAGUCUCAUGUCCAGCCUCAUAGAUAAUGGUAAAGAAUGAGUUUUACUCUGGGUCUCAUAUAUUAGUUUGCUAGAGCUGCCAUAACAAGGCACCAUGGACUGGUGGCUUAUGCAAUAGAAACAUAUUUUCUCAUGGUUCUGGAGGCUGGAUGUCUGGGAUCAAGGUGUUAGCAGGAUUGUUUCUUCUGAGGGCUAGGAGGGAAGAAUCUGUUACAGGCCUCUCUUCUCAGCUCCCCCAUGAUCAUCUUCUCUACCUUUUUUCUCAGUGUCUUUCCCCUCUAUGUAUCUGUGUACAAAUUUCCUCUUUGUAUAAGGACUUCUGUCAUACUGGAUUAGGGCCCUUCUAAUGACUUAAUUUUAACUUACCUCUUUGAGGACCCUGUCUCCAAAUAUGAACACAUUCUGAGGUAUUUAGGGGUAGUACUUCAAGAAAUAAAUUUUUGGAGGGACAUCAUUCAUCUGUUAACACCUCAGUAAGUUUUGAAAGAACUGUGGGAAUAUUUGAUUAACUGAAUAAGGUAUUUAAGCUCAAUUUUAAAGGGAAGUGGGAUAGAAAAAGUUGUAUUCAGUUAGUGUGGAGAUCAUGGUAUAAAAUAUAAAGAAGCUAUAUAUGGAGGACUAUAAAAAGCCUUAUAUAGAGGGUUAUAGUAAUAGUUCUUAAGGGAAGCCAUGAUUCAGAUCUCAAAUAUCUAGAAAUCAAAACAAUCUGUGCAUAACAAACAAGCAAUCUUGAAUUAUUGCAAAAAAAAAGUUAUUUAUAAGAGCUUCUGGGAACACUAAUAUGUGUAGUGAUAGGAUCUAGGAAUGACCGAAGAUAACUGUCCUUUGUUCAUGAGAGAUAGAUAAAAUAGAAGGAAUUAUGGCAACUAUACUUCAAUUAAAAACAAACAAACAAACAAAAAAA